This 65-nucleotide transfer RNA is filed under the name uncultured Traorella sp. It matches the Rfam family "tRNA", at positions 5 to 66 of the family's 71-position model. From Rfam's summary of the family: Transfer RNA (tRNA) molecules are approximately 80 nucleotides in length. The record is from RNAcentral. Lineage: Bacteria; Bacillati; Bacillota; Erysipelotrichia; Erysipelotrichales; Erysipelotrichaceae.
CGUUAGCUCAACUGGAUAGAGCGUUUGACUACGGAUCAAAAGGUUGUGGGUUCGAUUCCUGUACG